This 393-nucleotide ribosomal RNA is filed under the name uncultured bacterium. Its description in RNAcentral is "partial 16S ribosomal RNA". It matches the Rfam family "Bacterial small subunit ribosomal RNA", at positions 523 to 918 of the family's 1533-position model. The record is from RNAcentral.
AUACGGAGGAUCCGAGCGUUAUCCGGAUUUAUUGGGUUUAAAGGGUGCGCAGGCGGGUGAUUAAGUCGGCGGUGAAAUUUUGCAGCUUAACUGUAAAAGUGCCUUUGAAACUGGUUUCCUUGAGUGUAGAUGAAGUAGGCGGAAUUUGUGGUGUAGCGGUGAAAUGCAUAGAUAUCACGAGGAACUCCGAUUGCGCAGGCAGCUUACUAAACUACUACUGACGCUCAAGCACGAAGGCGUGGGGAUCAAACAGGAUUAGAUACCCUGGUAGUCCACGCAGUAAACGAUGAUUACUAGCUGUUUGCGAUACAAUGUAAGCGGCUGAGCGAAAGCGUUAAGUAAUCCACCUGGGGAGUACGUUCGCAAGAAUGAAACUCAAAGGAAUUGACGGGG